Molecule: ribosomal RNA, 238 nt
Filed under: uncultured Streptococcus sp.
Lineage: Bacteria; Bacillati; Bacillota; Bacilli; Lactobacillales; Streptococcaceae
Description: partial 16S ribosomal RNA
Rfam family: Bacterial small subunit ribosomal RNA
Source: RNAcentral
UGCCGGUAAUAAACCGGAGGAAGGUGGGAUGACGUCAAAUCAUCAUGCCCCUUAUGACCUGGGCUACACACGUGGCUACAAUGGUUGGUACAACGAGUUGCGAGUCGGUGACGGCGAGCUAAUCUCUUAAAGCCAAUCUCAGUUCGGAUUGUGGGCUGCAACUCGCCUACAUGAAGUCGGAAUCGCUAGUAAUCGCAGGUCAGCAUACUGCGGUGGAAUACGUUCCCCGGGGCCCGUU